Musca vetustissima is the source of this 427-nucleotide long non-coding RNA. RefSeq lists it as uncharacterized. Lineage: Eukaryota; Metazoa; Arthropoda; Insecta; Diptera; Muscidae. The transcript has 2 exons. The record is from RefSeq and is a predicted model, not a curated record.
UAGCCCGACGUCAUGGAAGUGGACGGAAGAAAUCAGCAACAUCAGCAGAAAUGGUUCGAAAAGUAAAGAAGCGACUUGAUCGAAAUCGAAACCUUCGUAGUGGCCGAAAAAUGGCCCGUGAGCUGAACAUAUCGCAAUAUUCCAUUCGGCAAAUAUUGAAAAAUGAGCUCGAGGUAAAGUCAUUGAAAUUCCAAAAAGUGCAAGAACAUACACUGCAACAGAAAGAAAAUUGACUCAAAAGAGCUAAAGAGUUGCUUUGCUUGGCUGAAAGUGGUGAACUGUCGAUUUUGUCGGUUUUCUGCGAUGAGAAAACAUUCGUUGUCCAGCAGUUUGUAAACAAACAAAAUGAUCGUGUUUACUUGCCAAAGAGGUCAGCUGAAAAUGUGCACCUUCGGUUGGCCAACAGAACUCAAGCGCCGACCAUAGU